UCUUCCUUGGUCUAGUGGUCAUGAUUUCCGCUUGUCAAACGCAAGUUAGCAAGCGCGGGAGACCGGGGUUCGAUUCCCCGAGGGAGAG
RNAcentral lists this transfer RNA (88 nucleotides) under Corynespora cassiicola Philippines. It matches the Rfam family "tRNA". Rfam says of the family: Transfer RNA (tRNA) molecules are approximately 80 nucleotides in length. Their secondary structure includes four short double-helical elements and three loops (D, anti-codon, and T loops). Lineage: Eukaryota; Fungi; Ascomycota; Dothideomycetes; Pleosporales; Corynesporascaceae. The record is from Rfam by way of RNAcentral.